CUAAUCAAGAAUUCGAAUAAACAUUUGACAACCGAUCGACUUUCGGUCUUGUUCUGUUUAAGAACUUCUUUUCUAGAUGAUUUCAUAUCUCCCCUAACAAUUACUUCCUUUUUGCUGAUAUCAACCAUUAAUCCUUUUGAACCUGCACAAAUUAGCUAACCCUGUAAACCGAAUAUUCCACUAACGAAUAACGAGAAUUUAAAACGAAAAAAAAGAUCGACGAAAAUUAUUCUAUGUAAAUACAUAAAUAUUGUAAUUACUGACCUGCCAUCUUUGAAAUAACUUGUGUUACUCUCUCUCUACAGUGAGGGCUCCCCAGGUUUGCUUUCAAAACUAUUACCUGAAAC
This 347-nucleotide long non-coding RNA is filed under the name Erythranthe guttata (spotted monkey flower). RNAcentral describes it as "long non-coding RNA (EGUT_LNC001755)". The record is from RNAcentral. Lineage: Eukaryota; Viridiplantae; Streptophyta; Magnoliopsida; Lamiales; Phrymaceae.